UAUUCUUUGCUUUUGAUUGAUGAUUUUUCGAGGUCUGCUUGGACCUUCUCUCUGAAAACGAAAGGGAGGCGGCUAAAAUGAUCAGGGAUUGGAUCACCGCAGUUGAGGUAACCUUUUCCACCAAAGUUCGUGGUUUUCAAAGUGACAGAGGUGCUGAAUUCACUGGUUCUGCUUUACAGGAUUUCUUUAGGGAGAAGGGGAUUAGCCACAGACUGACCGCUCCUUACUCUCCGCAACAGAAUGGGGUCGCAGAGAGAAAGAACAGGACGGUGCAGGAAGCUGUGUCUGCGAUCCUGUGGGACGCAGGGCUACCCCAGAAGUUUUGGUCGGAGGCCUGGAGAUAUGUGGUCCAUACCGAGAACAGAGUGUACAACUCUAGUGUAGGAAAUACACCGUAUUUCUUACUUCAUGGAAGGAAGCCCAAGGUACACUACCUUCGUGUGUUUGGUUGUGAGGCUUGGGUGCUUAUUCCAAAGGCUCUACGCAAGAAAGGUGAGCCAAGAUCUAAAAGAAUGAUCUUUGUAGGGUAUGAGCCUGGCUCAAAGGCCUGGAGGUUUGCGUACCCAAGUGGAGACCAGUCUAGGUUGGUUAUCAGCAAUAGCGCUGAGUUCUGUGAGCAAGCUGGUUGGAAACGUCUGCACGCUAAUCCAGACGUGCUUCCACAGCAGUUCUAUGACUCAGACGAGGAGGAGGAGGAACUUGGAGCUGGGGACCACGGUCCAGAGGGACAGAGUCCAAGGCAGGGACAGCUCAGGAUCCCUCAGAGGGGGGAACCUAGAACACCUCCUCAGGCAAGUGUCAAGUUUGAGCCAAAGAGUGAGCCUUCUUCACCUGCUGGACCAGCUGUAAGGCCCAAGAGGCGCAGCAGGUCAGAGGGGGAAGACACUGAAGUUGAGGAUGAUUUAGCUGGACCCAGUGAAGCGGCAGGGUCACCAGGAGUCACACUGAGGAGAUCAGCGAGGACAAGGAGGCCUCCUGAUCGGUACGACGCUUCAGGCGUCUGGGUAGGUUCUGCAAGAUGUGAACCUGAAUCCUUCGAGGAUAUUCAGAGUUUACCUGAGGAAGAAGCAGGCAAGUGGCACAGGGCAAUGGACAAAGAGAUGAAGUCCAUGAAAGAUCUAGGUGUGUUCUCACUCACAGAGUUGCCACCGGGGAAGCAGGCUGUGAGUUCCAGAUGGGUUUACCGCUUGAAACCCACUGACGCUGGAGAGCCGCAGUAUAAAGCCAGGUUAGUUGCUCGAGGAUUUACUCAGAGGAAGGGAAUACACUUCACGGAGGUGUAUUCGCCAACGUCACGAGCGGAGACUCUGAGAACGCUUUUAGCUUGUGCAGCACAGAGAGGCUGGAAGGUAAACCACUUUGAUGUGGAUGUUGCCUACCUUAACUCAGAUCUCCAGGAGGAGCUGUACAUGAUUCCUCCUCCGGGGUUUGAGAACUCAAGGCAGGAUGUUGUGUGGAGAUUGCACAAAUCCAUCUAUGGAUUACGUCAAUCUGCUAGAAACUGGAACAUGUGCCUGAAUGAAGCUUUGGAGAAGCUAGGUUUCAGGAAGAGUCUUGCUGAUAGUUGCCUGUUCCUUAGAGGAUCAGGAGACUCACAGGAACUGGUGCUGAUUUGGGUUGAUGACGUGCUUUUCGUCUCAGAAACAGAUGAACAGGCGGAGAAGUUUGCCAAAGAGCUAGGUAAACGAUUCAAGCUUAAACAGCUUGGUGCUGUCAAAACCUAUCUAGGUGUCAAUGUUGAGCGUGCACAGGAUGGAAGUUUUUGCUCAGCCAGAGAGGUAAAAUUGAGCAUCUGCUUCAGAAGUUCAGGAUGAGUGAUUGUGCAGGAGUGAGAAGUCCUAUGGAGACUAGUUUUGUGAAGGACAGCCAGCAAGCAGAACGCGCUGCGUUCGAAAAUACUGAAGUGUUUCAGUCAGCCCUAGGGAGUUUGUUGUACUUGUCCCAGUGGAGCAGACCUGAUAUAGCGUUUGCUGUCAAUCUGCUCAGCAGGGAAGCAUCAAACCCUAGUGUGCAAGCCUGGAAUGGCAUCAAGAGAGUUCUGAGGUAUUUGCAGGAGACCAAAGACUUUUGUCUUAGGUUGCCAGCACAAGGAGAAGUGAAACUGACUUGCUUUGUGGACUCGGAUUGGGCUAAUCUUGAGGAUCGCAAGUCUGUGUCUGGCCUAGUGGUGAAGUUUGGGAACUCAGUAGUUGGAUGGAGGUCCAAGAAGCAAAGUCUGAUAGCGCUCUCAUCCACUGAGGCUGAGUUUAGUGCUCUUUCAGAGGUGUGCAGAGAAGUAGAGUUCUAUGCUUGUUUGGUGCAGGAACUCUGCGAAGUGGAUUGUCUGCCGAUACGUGUUUUCGAGGACAAUCAACCAUGCCUGCGUUUGGCAGAGUCAGGUCAGUUCAAGGCCAGAACUAAACACCUAGACAUUCGCUUCGGAAUGUGUGCCAGAGUGUUCAGGAGGGAUUAGUUGCGCUGAAGUAUUGUCCCUCUGCCAAGAACCUAGCUGAUGGGUUCACGAAGCCACUCACCUUCCAAAGACAUGGAGAGUUUUGUGAAGGUCUGGGUUUGGGACGACCAAGGGUCGAUUCUCCCCUCAGGCGCGAGACAAGAGGGGGUGUUGGGUGUAGUGAAGGGUUAACCUUCUGUGUCUCGAGGCUGAGAGGAGGCGCUUACAAGGGAAGUAAGCCAGGACGUGACGAAGCAGCUUGGAAUGCUGUGAGCUGAGUGAAAAGUGAAAGCAGCUUUGCUACGCAGCUGCUGAGAGAGAGACGCAGAAAUGCAACUUGAAUCAGAUGGUGUAUAUGAACUGUAAAUAUGCUAUUUCUGAGCAAAUAAAGUGCUA
RNAcentral lists this long non-coding RNA (2827 nucleotides) under Podarcis lilfordi (Lilford's wall lizard). The record is from RNAcentral. Lineage: Eukaryota; Metazoa; Chordata; Lepidosauria; Squamata; Lacertidae.